RNAcentral lists this ribosomal RNA (253 nucleotides) under uncultured bacterium. Its description in RNAcentral is "partial 16S ribosomal RNA". It matches the Rfam family "Bacterial small subunit ribosomal RNA", at positions 524 to 776 of the family's 1533-position model. The record is from RNAcentral.
UACGUAGGGUGCAAGCGUUGUCCGGAAUUAUUGGGCGUAAAGAGCUCGUAGGCGGUCUGUCGCGUCGGCUGUGAAAACUCGGGGCUCAACCCCGAGCCUGCGGUCGAUACGGGCAGGCUGGAGUUCGGUAGGGGAGACUGGAAUUCCUGGUGUAGCGGUGGAAUGCGCAGAUAUCAGGAGGAACACCGGUGGCGAAGGCGGGUCUCUGGGCAGUAACUGACGCUGAGGAGCGAAAGCGUGGGGAGCGAACAGG